GGCAGCGAGGGAAUGAGCAAAGAUGCUACUGGUCUGGACAACUGGGACAAAAUGACAAUGUUCUCUGAAACUGGGGAUAAGGAGGACAAAUACAUUUGUAGAAAGGUCAAUGCUUACAGCUUUGAACAAGUUGAGUUGGCGUUCCCUGCGAGAGAGAUCCAAGUGUAGACAUUCUGUAGCCUUUGAAGUGAGACCCAUCUGAUAAAAAUGAAAAGUUCUAAACCUCUUCCUGAGAGAAACGUAAUGGCUUUUAAUUUUUGAGGCCUAGAAAUUUUUCCAUAGUUCCCAGGGGGGCGGGGGGUUAAUAGGAUUUUCUUUCAAAAGGAGAGGCUUGAACAAGACUUAUUUGGAGAAGACAAGAAGAUACUGGAUGAAGACUUUUUCUCGGGCAAAGAUGGGGAUGGAGGAUAGGGGAGGAUCAGGGAGGACAGUGGCCCGAAUCAGUUGAAAAAAGAUGGUAUCUUUGAAAUCUGGAAAGAGGGAGGACUACUGUAUUGGGAGAAUCUGUGUCCUGCUCAUGCCGUGCACUCUCGAGGUGGAACAACCUGAGAGCAGAAACACUGUGCAUUCUGGUGGAAGCAAGACAUUUAUGCCACUAUGGCCUAGCGCCACCAUGCUGGGAUGCUCGGUGGAAGGGCCACUGAAAGGGACACGUUGGGACCCUCCUUGAGUAGGGAUGCCUGGGAGAGAACGGAGCAGCCCACUAGCCCGCGACGCUGUUGGGCAGAAGGUGCUCUGGGAAGGUCACACACCAAAGCUCAGGGGAGCAUAGCCAAUCCUGCAGUACCCAGGACCUGACAUCAAGCAGAGGGAGAGAUCCGCUGUUUCUCAGCAUUCCACUUCCCACAAAACACGAAUAUAUGUGAUUUAGAAAAAUAAGGACUUGAAUGUAACUUAGCCUGUAUUUGUUGUGAAUUUACACACACACAUACUACAUAUAAACACAGUGAUUUAUGGAGUUCAUCUAUAUAUAAUUUUGCAACUAUAAUCACACUAUGACCAAAUUUCCAGAAGUGACCACAAACCAACAACUUUGCCUAAUAAAUUAUGAAGUGACCCAAGAUUUUCCAAGGCUGUUUGUUAAAACCAAUGUUUUCCUAAGCGAACCAGAGAAACAUCCAGAAUAACAAAGUACUAAGCAGAUUAAAAUAUAUGCAGUAUAUAACUCUGCGAUUAAAGAUGGUGCAUAACAGGAAUACACCAUGAAAGGGACAUUUUAAUACUGAUACUCAUCAUACGGGUGAUGUUGGUGUCUUCAUAUUAAAAACAAACAUGAUUUAUAAAACUA
Molecule: long non-coding RNA, 1288 nt
Organism: Canis lupus familiaris (dog)
Lineage: Eukaryota; Metazoa; Chordata; Mammalia; Carnivora; Canidae
Exons: 2
Source: RefSeq, a predicted model, not a curated record